Molecule: small RNA, 529 nt
Filed under: Pan troglodytes (chimpanzee)
Lineage: Eukaryota; Metazoa; Chordata; Mammalia; Primates; Hominidae
Description: processed transcript
Source: RNAcentral
CCGGGUGCCUAGGACUCCGACUUUCUCUGGGAGGAAAACAAGGUGGACGCUGCACCUGCGUCACUGCCCUGCAUCACCGUUUGGUUUGGUUGGGAUGUUCCAGUAAUUCUGAGAAAUUCAGAAGAGACCCAGUUCAGCACAAGAGUUUUCAAAAAGCAAAUGAGACAAGUCAAGAAUCCUUUUGGCUUAGAGAUCACUAAUCCAUCUUCAGCUUCAAUUACAACUGGCAUAACCUUGACAACAGAUUGCCUUGAAGAUAGCCUCCUUACAUGCUACUGGGGGUGCAGUGUUCAAAAAUUAUAUGAAGCUCUGCAUAUUAAAAAGGAUAGCAAAGAAGAAAUAUAUUGCCAGUUACCAAGAGAUACUAAAAUUGAAGACUUUGGUACAGUACCCAGAUCUCGCUAUCCAUUGGUAGCGCUAUUGACCUUAGCUGAUGAGGAUGACCGGGAAAUUUAUGAUAUUGUAAGUAAUUGAAAAUUUUGAAAGCAUUACCUUUAAGUGAUUUGAAUGGUGGUUCUUCAUUAUUUGA